Molecule: ribosomal RNA, 480 nt
Filed under: uncultured bacterium
Lineage: Bacteria
Description: partial 16S ribosomal RNA
Rfam family: Bacterial small subunit ribosomal RNA
Source: RNAcentral
GAUGAACGCUGGCGGCGUGCUUAACACAUGCAAGUCGAACGGAACUACUCCAAUGAGAGUCUUCGGAAAGGAUUUGGUUUAGUUUAGUGGCGGACGGGUGAGUAACGCGUGGGUAACCUGCCCUAUACAGGGGGAUAACAGUUGGAAACGACUGUUAAUACCGCAUAAGCGCACAGGAGCGCAUGCUCCGGUGUGAAAAACUCCGGUGGUAUAGGAUGGACCCGCGUCUGAUUAGCUGGUUGGCGGGGUAACGACCCACCAAGGCGACGAUCAGUAGCCGGCCUGAGAGGGUGAACGGCCACAUUGGGACUGAGACACGGCCCAAACUCCUACGGGAGGCAGCAGUGGGGAAUAUUGCACAAUGGGGGAAACCCUGAUGCAGCGACGCCGCGUGAGCGAAGAAGUAUCUCGGUAUGUAAAGCUCUAUCAGCAGGGAAGAAAAUGACGGUACCUGACUAAGAAGCCCCGGCUAACUACGUG